GAUGAAGAACGCAGCGAAAUGCGAUAAGUAAUGUGAAUUGCAGAAUUCAGUGAAUCAUCGAAUCUUUGAACGCACCUUGCGCCCUUUGGCUAUUCCAGAGGGCAUGCCUGUUUGAGUAUCAUGAACACCUCAACUCUCAUGGUUCUGCCAUGAUGAGCUUGGACUUUGGAGGUCUUGCUGGCCCCUGUGGUCAGCUCCUCUCAAAUGGAUCAGCUUGCCAGUGUUUGGUGGCAUCACAGGUGUGAUAACUAUCUACGCUUGUGGUUUUCUGCCAGAUAACCUUCAGUGAUGGAGGUUCGCUGGAGCUUAUAAAUGUCUCUCCCCAGUGAGGACAGCUUUUUGAACGUUUGAUCUCAAAUCAGGUAGGACUACCCGCUGAACUUAAGCAUAUCAAUAAGCGGAGGA
This 405-nucleotide unclassified non-coding RNA is filed under the name soil metagenome. RNAcentral's name for it is "partial contains 5.8S ribosomal RNA, internal transcribed spacer 2, and large subunit ribosomal RNA". The stretch from base 1 to 121 matches the Rfam family "5.8S ribosomal RNA", at positions 35 to 154 of the family's 154-position model. The record is from RNAcentral.